Molecule: ribosomal RNA, 428 nt
Filed under: uncultured bacterium
Lineage: Bacteria
Description: partial 16S ribosomal RNA
Rfam family: Bacterial small subunit ribosomal RNA
Source: RNAcentral
GUGGGGAAUAUUGGGCAAUGGGGGAAACCCUGACCCAGCAACGCCGCGUGAGGGAAGAAGGUUUUCGGAUUGUAAACCUCUGUCCUUGGUGACGAAGGAAGUGACGGUAACCAAGGAGGAAGCCCCGGCUAACUACGUGCCAGCAGCCGCGGUAAUACGUAGGGGGCAAGCGUUGUCCGGAAUGACUGGGCGUAAAGGGCGUGUAGGCGGCCGAUUAAGUCUGGAGUGAAAGUCCUGCUUUCAAGGUGGGAAUUGCUUUGGAGACUGGUUGGAUUGAGUGCGGAAGGGGUAAGUGGAAUUCCCAGUGUAGCGGUGAAAUGCGUAGAGAUUGGGAGGAACACCAGUGGCGAAGGCGACUUACUGGGCCGUAACUGACGCUGAGGCGCGAAAGCGUGGGGAGCGAACAGGAUUAGAAACCCGAGUAGUCC